CGUUUUCGGGGCAGGGUGUAAUUCCCGACCGGCGGUAAAGUCCGCGAACUGCCAAGGGCGGUUGAUUUGGUGAAAUUCCAAAACCGACAGUAAAGUCUGGAUGAGAGAAGACG
Molecule: non-coding RNA, 113 nt
Filed under: uncultured Catenibacillus sp.
Lineage: Bacteria; Bacillati; Bacillota; Clostridia; Lachnospirales; Lachnospiraceae
Description: FMN riboswitch (RFN element)
Rfam family: FMN riboswitch aptamer (RFN element)
About the family: The RFN element is a highly conserved domain that is found frequently in the 5'-untranslated regions of prokaryotic mRNAs that encode for flavin mononucleotide (FMN) biosynthesis and transport proteins. This element is a metabolite-dependent riboswitch that directly binds FMN in the absence of proteins.
Source: RNAcentral